GACGAACGCUGGCGGCGUGCUUAACACAUGCAAGUCGAACGGAAAGGCCCUGCUUUUGUGGGGUGCUCGAGUGGCGAACGGGUGAGUAACACGUGAGUAACCUGCCCUUGACUUUGGGAUAACUUCAGGAAACUGGGGCUAAUACCGGAUAGGAGCUCCUGCUGCAUGGUGGGGGUUGGAAAGUUUCGGCGGUUGGGGAUGGACUCGCGGCUUAUCAGCUUGUUGGUGGGGUAGUGGCUUACCAAGGCUUUGACGGGUAGCCGGCCUGAGAGGGUGACCGGCCACAUUGGGACUGAGAUACGGCCCAGACUCCUACGGGAGGCAGCAGUGGGGAAUAUUGCACAAUGGGCGGAAGCCUGAUGCAGCAACGCCGCGUGCGGGAUGACGGCCUUCGGGUUGUAAACCGCUUUCGCCUGUGACGAAGCGUGAGUGACGGUAAUGGGUAAAGAAGCACCGGCUAACUACGUGCCAGCAGCCGCGGUGAUACGUAGGGUGCGAGCGUUGUCCGGAUUUAUUGGGCGUAAAGGGCUCGUAGGUGGUUGAUCGCGUCGGAAGUGUAAUCUUGGGGCUUAACCCUGAGCGUGCUUUCGNAUACGGUUGACUUGAGGAAGGUAGGGGAGAAUGGAAUUCCUGGUGGAGCGGUGGAAUGCGCAGAUAUCAGGAGGAACACCAGUGGCGAAGGCGGUUCUCUGGGCCUUCCCUGACGCUGAGGAGCGAAAGCGUGGGGAGCGAACAGGCUUAGAUACCCUGGUAGUCCACGCUGUAAACGGUGGGUACUAGGUGUGGGGUCCAUUCCACGGGUUCCGUGCCGUAGCUAACGCUUUAAGUACCCCGCCUGGGGAGUACGGCCGCAAGGCUAAAACUCAAAGGAAUUGACGGGGCCCCGCACAAGCGGCGGAGCAUGCGGAUUAAUUCGAUGCAACGCGUAGAACCUUACCUGGGUUUGACAUGGAUCGGGAGUGCUCAGAGAUGGGUGUGCCUCUUUUGGGGUCGGUUCACAGGUGGUGCAUGGCUGUCGUCAGCUCGUGUCGUGAGAUGUUGGGUUAAGUCCCGCAACGAGCGCAACCCUUGUUCACUGUUGCCAGCACGUUAUGGUGGGGACUCAGUGGAGACCGCCGGGGUCAACUCGGAGGAAGGUGGGGAUGACGUCAAGUCAUCAUGCCCCUUAUGUCCAGGGCUUCACGCAUGCUACAAUGGCUGGUACAGAGAGUGGCGAGCCUGUGAGGGUGAGCGAAUCUCGGAAAGCCGGUCUCAGUUCGGAUUGGGGUCUGCAACUCGACCUCAUGAAGUCGGAGUCGCUAGUAAUCGCAGAUCAGCAACGCUGCGGUGAAUACGUUCCCGGG
RNAcentral lists this ribosomal RNA (1343 nucleotides) under uncultured bacterium. RNAcentral's name for it is "16S ribosomal RNA". It matches the Rfam family "Bacterial small subunit ribosomal RNA", at positions 28 to 1378 of the family's 1533-position model. The record is from RNAcentral.